RNAcentral lists this ribosomal RNA (463 nucleotides) under uncultured bacterium. RNAcentral's name for it is "partial 16S ribosomal RNA". It matches the Rfam family "Bacterial small subunit ribosomal RNA", at positions 28 to 507 of the family's 1533-position model. The record is from RNAcentral.
GAUGAACGCUGACAGAAUGCUUAACACAUGCAAGUCUUUGGCGAAGCUGUGCUUGCACCGCCUAGCCAAGGCGGACGGGUGAGUAACGCGUAAGGAACUUGCCCUGCAGUCAGGGAUAACAGACGGAAACGACUGAUAAGACCUGGUAAAGUCAGGCGGACUCAUGUCCAGCCUGAUGAAAAGAGAUGCUGCAGGAGAGCCUUGCGUCCUAUUAGCUUGUUGGUGGGGUAACGGCCCACCAAGGCGAUGAUAGGUAGCCGGCCUGAGAGGGUGGACGGCCACAAGGGGACUGAGAUACGGCCCUUACUCCUACGGGAGGCAGCAGUGGGGAAUAUUGGACAAUGGGGGCAACCCUGAUCCAGCAAUUCUGUGUGCACGAUGAAGGUUUUCGGAGUGUAAAGUGCUUUCAGCAGGGAAGAAAAAAAUGACGGUACCUGCAGAAGAAGCGACGGCUAAAUACGUG